UGUCGCUCACAAUAAAAUUAUUUACAUAUGUACAUACAAAUAUAAGACAAUGUCAAAUGGAGACGUUUGUAUUCUUACACGUGCAACAUUACUUAUGUAAGGAUCUUCUGUACACCUAUCAGUAUGGGUUAAUAUAUAGCGAUUAUUCUUUGACAACAAUAAAUAUGUGUUAUAAAUGGAUUGGAGACAAAUGCAAAUUGU
Molecule: long non-coding RNA, 201 nt
Filed under: Mytilus galloprovincialis (Mediterranean mussel)
Lineage: Eukaryota; Metazoa; Mollusca; Bivalvia; Mytilida; Mytilidae
Source: RNAcentral